This 308-nucleotide RNase P RNA is filed under the name uncultured Kallipyga sp. RNAcentral's name for it is "Bacterial RNase P class A". It matches the Rfam family "Bacterial RNase P class A". Rfam says of the family: Ribonuclease P (RNase P) is a ubiquitous endoribonuclease, found in archaea, bacteria and eukarya as well as chloroplasts and mitochondria. Its best characterised activity is the generation of mature 5'-ends of tRNAs by cleaving the 5'-leader elements of precursor-tRNAs. Lineage: Bacteria; Bacillati; Bacillota; Tissierellia. The record is from RNAcentral.
GCCGGGCUAUCGCGACAGGUUCGAGGAAAGUCCGUGCACCAUAGAGCAGGAUACCGGAUAACGUCCGGUGGAGGCGACUCCAAGGCAAGUGCAACAGAAAGAAACCGCCCGAAAGGGUAAGGAUGGAAAGGUGAGGUAAGAGCUCACCAGCUCGUCGGAGACGGCGUGGCUCUGUAAACCCUAUCCGGUGCAAGAUCAAACCGCCCAAUCGGCUGCUCGUCGGGGCGAAGGGAUCGCUAGACUUCAGCGGUAACGCUGAAGCGAGACAGAUGAUAGCCAAAACAGAACACGGCUUACCGGCUUGCUUC